Molecule: long non-coding RNA, 388 nt
Filed under: Mustela putorius furo (domestic ferret)
Lineage: Eukaryota; Metazoa; Chordata; Mammalia; Carnivora; Mustelidae
Description: lncRNA (ENSMPUG00000030566.1)
Source: RNAcentral
GCUCGGCCAGAAACGCUUGAGAGAACCGUGGAGGGUACCUGGGAACUGGGACCAAGAGAUAUACUGGCUUCCUAUCUUUCCGCAGAUUGGCAGAAUCAGGAUGAAAAUGCUGUCUAAGAUUAAGUACUACUUUCUAGCUUAAAGUGAUCAGAGAGCAUAUUAUGUUUCCAGUGGAGUUCAGAAGGCUUUAUUUCCUCCUUUUCCUGACCAGUAUCGCAGGAGCCCAGGGACUCGGUAGAAGGUGACCUCCGCACUUGUGUUUCCCUUCUGAAGACCCAAAGUCACACGCUCUCAGAAGAAGAGAGGAAUAUGCUGAAGUAGUGCCAAGAAGUCAAGACCUUUAUUUAUUUUUAAGUUAUUUGAGCACCUUACAUGUACUGUACUAGAG